GGAGGGUGCAAGCGUUAUCCGGAUUUACUGGGUUUAAAGGGUGCGUAGGUGGAUAAUUAAGUCAGUGGUGAAAUCUUCAGGCUUAACCUGGAAACUGCCAUUGAUACUAUUUAUCUUGAAUACUUUGGAGGUAAGCGGAAUAUGUCAUGUAGCGGUGAAAUGCUUAGAUAUGACAUAGAACACCAAUUGCGAAGGCAGCUUACUACACAGUAAUUGACACUGAGGCACGAAAGCGUGGGGAUCAAACAGGAUUAGAUACCCUGGUAGUCCACGCCCUAAACGAUGGAUACUCGACAUUAGCGAUAUACAGUUAGUGUCUGAGCGAAAGCAUUAAGUAUCCCACCUGGGAAGUACGAUCGCAAGAUUG
Molecule: ribosomal RNA, 367 nt
Filed under: uncultured bacterium
Lineage: Bacteria
Description: bacterial SSU rRNA
Rfam family: Bacterial small subunit ribosomal RNA
Source: RNAcentral